GAUUGUUGAUCAUAAUAAGGAAACACAAACAAAAGUUGUAGUAUAAUAAAAAAUUUGCAUGAAUGAAUGUAAAAAGUAAUUUUUUUUCUUCAGAUCUGAUAGCAGUGUUUCUUGUAAAAGAAGAAGAAUAUGAUUAUUUUUUUAAUCCAAAACAAAACAAAGGUACAAGACAAGAUGUUGCCCCUUCUUUUUUGGGUUCUUUCACCGAGAGAGAAUUGUUUUUCUUGAUAUGAAAU
Molecule: long non-coding RNA, 236 nt
Filed under: Trifolium pratense (red clover)
Lineage: Eukaryota; Viridiplantae; Streptophyta; Magnoliopsida; Fabales; Fabaceae
Description: long non-coding RNA (TPRA_LNC006823)
Source: RNAcentral